This 321-nucleotide long non-coding RNA is filed under the name Brassica rapa (field mustard). RNAcentral's name for it is "long non-coding RNA (BRAP_LNC001506)". The record is from RNAcentral. Lineage: Eukaryota; Viridiplantae; Streptophyta; Magnoliopsida; Brassicales; Brassicaceae.
GAUAUCGUUGCAUCUAACAUAGCCUUUUAGGAUUUUGCACAUCUUAAUAUUUUGAAUGCAUUAUUAUUCACUUCAUUAUGUAAGAAAAAAAAGUAAAAAAAAAAUUAAUUAUAUGCAAUGCACAUAUUUUUGACUUUAUAUAACUAACAAAACAUAAAAAAAGUCAAAAUGCUACUGGUUGUGAUUAAAUUAUUGGUAUGGUAUUCAUGUAUUUUUAAGAAUAUAUGUAUGAACUAACCAAUUUUUUUUUGGCCUUAAAAACCAGAAUCGAAGCAAAACAAAAUUGGACUAAAACGCUUUUCGGAUAUUAGCCGGUUCCCA